AUUGAACGCUGGCGGAAUGCUUUACACAUGCAAGUCGAACGGCAGCACGGGGGCAGCCCUGGUGGCGAGUGGCGAACGGGUGAGUAAUACAUCGGAACGUGCCCGGUCGUGGGGGAUAACGUAGCGAAAGUUACGCUAAUACCGCAUACGAUCUGAGGAUGAAAGCGGGGGACCUUCGGGCCUCGCGCGAUCGGAGCGGCCGAUGUCAGAUUAGGUAGUUGGUGGGGUAAAGGCCUACCAAGCCGACGAUCUGUAGCUGGUCUGAGAGGACGACCAGCCACACUGGGACUGUGACACGGCCCAGACUCCUACGGGAGGCAGCAGUGGGGAAUUUUGGACAAUGGGCGCAAGCCUGAUCCAGCCAUUCCGCGUGCAGGACGAAGGCCUUCGGGUUGUAAACUGCUUUUGUACGGAACGAAAAGGCUCUGGCUAAUACCUGGGGCUCAUGACGGUACCGUAAGAAUAAGCACCGGCUAACUACGUG
This 484-nucleotide ribosomal RNA is filed under the name uncultured bacterium. RNAcentral's name for it is "partial 16S ribosomal RNA". It matches the Rfam family "Bacterial small subunit ribosomal RNA", at positions 30 to 507 of the family's 1533-position model. The record is from RNAcentral.